This 87-nucleotide non-coding RNA is filed under the name Carboxydocella thermautotrophica DSM 16521. Its description in RNAcentral is "Carboxydocella sporoproducens DSM 16521 c-di-GMP-I riboswitch aptamer". It matches the Rfam family "c-di-GMP-I riboswitch aptamer". Rfam says of the family: GEMM was predicted in a large-scale screen for bacterial structured RNA regulatory elements. Genes associated with GEMM are involved in a diverse array of functions, including chemotaxis regulation, signal transduction, secretion and chitin. Lineage: Bacteria; Bacillati; Bacillota; Clostridia; Eubacteriales; Clostridiales Family XVI. Incertae Sedis. The record is from Rfam by way of RNAcentral.
CAACGAUAAAGGCAAACCCGGUGAAAGCCGGGGGCGCAAAGCCAUGGGUCUAAGGCGUAUAAGCGCUAUGACUGCCAGGCUGCCGAA